UAAUACGGAGGGUGCGAGCGUUGUCCGGAAUCACUGGGCGUAAAGGGCGCGUAGGCGGCCUGAUAAGUAGGGGGUGAAAUCCUGCGGCUUAACCGCAGGGCUGCCUUCUAGACUGUCAGGCUAGAGCACAGUAGAGGCAGGUGGAAUUCCCGGUGUAGCGGUGGAAUGCGUAGAGAUCGGGAAGAACAUCAGUGGCGAAGGCGGCCUGCUGGGCUGUUGCUGACGCUGAGGCGCGACAGCGUGGGGAGCAAACAGGAUUAGAUACCCUGGUAGUCCACGCCGUAAACGAUGGACACUAGGCGUCGGGGGGAGCGACCCUCCCGGUGCCGUCGCUAACGCAGUAAGUGUCCCGCCUGGGGAGUACGGCCGCAAGGCUG
This 377-nucleotide ribosomal RNA is filed under the name uncultured bacterium. RNAcentral describes it as "bacterial SSU rRNA". It matches the Rfam family "Bacterial small subunit ribosomal RNA", at positions 521 to 896 of the family's 1533-position model. The record is from RNAcentral.